UUUUUGGCUAUUUGGUUGAAAGACAAAUUUCUGAUCUAGACACUGUUUGAAAAUGGGUCAAAUUCGACCCGAAGACAACAGGAGGGUUAAA
Long non-coding RNA from Etheostoma cragini (Arkansas darter), 91 nucleotides. RefSeq lists it as uncharacterized. Lineage: Eukaryota; Metazoa; Chordata; Actinopteri; Perciformes; Percidae. The transcript has 3 exons. The record is from RefSeq and is a predicted model, not a curated record.